Molecule: long non-coding RNA, 2294 nt
Organism: Nicotiana tabacum (common tobacco)
Lineage: Eukaryota; Viridiplantae; Streptophyta; Magnoliopsida; Solanales; Solanaceae
Source: RefSeq, a predicted model, not a curated record
GUCAAACUUCGCAUUUCUCUCUCUCUCAGCUCUCCACUAUCUCCAAUUCGUCGAAGGAUUUCAGCCUACGAACGUCGUUGUUUUUUAAGGCCCGGGCAAAUGAAGCAUUUCCAGCUCUUGAAAAUGAUGUUGCCAAGUCAAGGGAUGUUCAUUUGCCUACUCUAAGAUGUUGAGAUGUCAUACAUCUAAAUUGAGCGAAAGGUGGCCCAUUUCAAGUCAAGGGAUAGGUUCGGAGAUUGUGCACCCUUACAUUAUUCCUAUAGUGCGAGAGGCGGUAGAGCAGUUUAUAAAACAUUUAGUGACAUAUGAUGAGGUAAGGAAUCUAGCUGGGGAUGUUGUGAAGGCUGAAUUGAAUAGAGUAACUGUCAUUAUCACACCACAGUGAUCUUAUAGGAGUUUGAGAAAGGAGGCUUUGAAUAAUGAUGAAAAAUCUGAUAAUAUAGGUGGCAGUGCAUUAUAUUUUUCUGCAGAGACAUGAAGGGAGAAAAUGAGGUAGUGAAGGGUCUUCGAGAGGCUAUGUAGGACCAAUGUCGGAACCAUCCUUAGAGGAAGUAUUGUUCAAAUCAGUAUCAACUGAGGAUAAGUUGGUGGAUGCUCCAAUAUGUCAAGGAGGAUCGGAAUUUAUCAUAGGAUUCUGUCCGGACUGAUCAAGAACGAGAGAGGUAAGUAAUUUUAGAAUGUGUAGCGGUUUUGGUAUUUUUUUAAAAUGUCAUAUGCAUUUAGGAUAGUUAUUUACAUGCACAAUGAAGUCAAUUCACCCGUGAUCAUUGCUACUCGACCUACUCAACGUGCCAUCGAUGGGAAUCUCACUAAGGUUGAUCAGCUACAAGAUUGUGUUAUCAACAAGGAAAAUGAAAAGGCUCUCAUUGAAAAUGUCGAUGUUGAUCUAAGCUUGGAUAUGGAAAUAGCGAGUGUGGAUGAGAAUGCAGCUGAAUUCUCUAAUCUAGUUGUGGAUAUGGAGAUGGAGAUUAAGGUCAAGAACUAGGUGGUCCUGAGAAAAACAAUAGGUCCAUGCACUGCCCGAGGACGACAAGCCAAGUGGUACUAAUCUGUAUUGAUGAUGAAGCAAAUUGCAAUGUCGAUAGUGGAGUUAAUUCUAGAGUUAUUGCUGGUGACAAUGCUACAAUUGAAGCAACAACAACGUUUGGCAAUAAGGUAGAUGUCUUAGGCAUUGUUGCUGAGAUCGAAGAACAUGAAGUGUCACGACCCAAAUCCCACCAGGCAUGAUGACACAUAAUUCAACCUAUUAGGAGAACCAUCCAACAUAUGAAUAAACCAUAACAUGAGAUAAUAUAUUAAUAAGAAGCAAAAGAAUGAAAUUUUAUUACAAAUUACCUCCAAGAAUUGGUAUCACAAGUCAUGAGCAACUAAGAUUUAGAAUAUACAGAUGGUAUGAAAAGAAUACAUCAUUUGUUUGAAAUAAUACAUAAAUAGAUACAUAAGACUCCUAGGCUACCAUGAACAAAUGGCACAAAUUCUUUGGAACAUGGAGGUCUUUAAAGCUCACCCUUGAACUCUGCAACAUCUCAUCUCUAUAAUUGCAAACAAGGUACAGAAUUGUAGUAUAAGUACAACCGACCUCAUGUAUUCAUUAAGUAUCAAAAUUAACCUCAAAGAAGUGAUGACGAGGCUUAGUCGAAAGAUAUUCACUUUAUAAAACCUUUGCAGCUCAUAAGAAUAUAUAAUAACAGCGAUAUAACCAAGAAACAACUAAAGAAAUAACGACUAUCAAUAAUAAAGGUGCACAAUCGAAGAAAAAGUAAGAAGCAUGCUUUUCCAAUUAAACAAGUCAAAGCAAAUACAAUCACACCAAUUUCGCAUUCAAAAGAGAUGCAGCAAGUACAUUUACUCAAAUACUUUUACAUGAAUAUAGAGAGUCUAUACAUGAUAAAGAUCCAAUUUCACAUCAAUUUCCAAUAACAUUUAUAUGAAAGCCUUUACAUGAGUCCAUUAUGUCAAUGUAUAAUGAAUGCUCUCCUUUUACAUUAAUCUGACACCCUUUAAUUGUCCAACAACUCACUAGCAAGUCAUUUGCAUAUGUAAAAUGUAUCAACUAGUAUAUGCAGAAGAUAUGCGUCAAUAAAGCAUGAAAAAUUCAUGAAUUCGCACAAAGAAUUCACAUCAAUAAAAUAAAUCUUUCACAUUUGUGCUCAAAACCUAUCAAUCGAAUCCCAUAACACAAACAAACCAAAAGUUCGUCGAUUUUUUACAGUCUACAUGUAUGCCACCAAGAGAGAAACAUUGUAACACCCCGAAAAAAAUUCGGCUUAGGUAUGAAUGAGCUAAAGGAGUAG